CCGUGCUAGGCGGGGAGUUAGCGGUUCCCAUGACCCGAAAUCCGCUCAUGCGGGGCCGAAGGCCCUAUAAGGUUCACUACAGGAUGCUGUUUGCUGGUUCAGGAAGUGGCAGUAGCCCCAUGCGACAGAUCUCUUAUGAACCCCGUCAGGUCCGGAAGGAAGCAGCGGUAAGUAAGCAGGUCUGUGUCAUGGAAGGAGCUGCCGUCUAUCCUGAAUCAGGGAUGGUUUCCUGGAUGUGGAUCGAGUAGGGAUGCACGG
RNAcentral lists this signal recognition particle RNA (258 nucleotides) under Deltaproteobacteria bacterium. RNAcentral's name for it is "signal recognition particle sRNA large type". It matches the Rfam family "Bacterial large signal recognition particle RNA". From Rfam's summary of the family: The signal recognition particle (SRP) is a universally conserved ribonucleoprotein involved in the co-translational targeting of proteins to membranes. Archaeal SRP consists of a 7S RNA and homologues of the eukaryotic SRP19 and SRP54 proteins. In most bacteria, the SRP consists of a 4.5S RNA and the Ffh protein (a homologue of the eukaryotic SRP54 protein). The record is from RNAcentral. Lineage: Bacteria; Pseudomonadati; Myxococcota; Myxococcia.